AUUGAACGCUGGCGGUAGGCUUAACACAUGCAAGUCGUGCGAGAAAGUAUCUUCGGAUAUGAGUAGAGCGGCGGACGGGUGAGUAACGCGUAGGAAUCUACCUAGUAGAAGGGGAUAGCCCGGGGAAACUCGGAUUAAUACCGUAUACCUCCUUCGGGAGAAAGAAGGCCUCUCCUUGAAGCUUUCGCUAUUAGAUGAGCCUGCGUAAGAUUAGCUUGUUGGUGAGGUAAAGGCUCACCAAGGCGACGAUCUUUAGCGGGUCUGAGAGGACGAUCCGCCACAUUGGGACUGAGACACGGCCCAGACUCCUACGGGAGGCAGCAGUGGGGAAUAUUGGACAAUGGGCGCAAGCCUGAUCCAGCCAUACCGCGUGUGUGAAGAAGGCCCUAGGGUUGUAAAGCACUUUAAGUUGGGAAGAAAAGUUAUUGGUUAAUACCCAAUAACCGUGACAUUACCAUCAGAAUAAGGACCGGCUAAUUCCGUGCCAGCAGCCGCGGUAAUACGGAAGGUCCAAGCGUUAAUCGGAAUUACUGGGCGUAAAGCGCGCGUAGGUGGUUUAUUAAGUUGGAUGUGAAAUCCCCGGGCUCAACCUGGGAACUGCAUCCAAAACUGAUUCACUAGAGUACGAUAGAGGGAGGUAGAAUUCACAGUGUAGCGGUGGAAUGCGUAGAUAUUGUGAAGAAUACCAAUGGCGAAGGCAGCCUCCUGGAUCUGUACUGACACUGAGGUGCGAAAGCGUGGGUAGCGAACAGGAUUAGAUACCCUGGUAGUCCACGCCGUAAACGAUGUCAACUAGCUGUUGGAAAACUAUGUUUUUCAGUGGCGCAGCUAACGUAGUAAGUUGACCGCCUGGGGAGUACGGCCGCAAGGCUAAAACUCAAAUGAAUUGACGGGGACCCGCACAAGCGGUGGAGCAUGUGGUUUAAUUCGAUGCAACGCGAAAAACCUUACCUAUACUUGACAUACUUGGAAUGCUUUGUAAUGAAGCAGUGCUCUUCGGGAGCCAAGAUACAGGUGCUGCAUGGCUGUCGUCAGCUCGUGUCGUGAGAUGUUCCGUUAAGUCGGAUAACGAGCGCAACCCUUACCCUUAUUUGCCAGCGAUUCGGUUCGGGAACUAUAAGGGGACUGCCGGUGAUAAACUCGGAGGAAGGUGAGGACGACGUCAAGUUCAUCAUGGCCCUUACGUAUAGGGCUACGCGCGUGCUACGAUGGAGAAUACGGACGGAACGCGAAGCCGCGAGGUGGUGCUAAUCCUAGAAAAAUUCUUCGUAGUCCGGAUUGGAGUCUGCAACUCGACUCCAUGAAGUCGGAAUCGCUAGUAAUCGCGAAUCAGCAUGUCGCGGUGAAUACGUUCUCGGGUCU
Molecule: ribosomal RNA, 1362 nt
Filed under: uncultured bacterium
Lineage: Bacteria
Description: bacterial SSU rRNA
Rfam family: Bacterial small subunit ribosomal RNA
Source: RNAcentral